CGGGGGGCAGCAGUGAGGAAUAUUUUGCAAUGGACGAAAGUCUGACAAAGCAAUACCGCGUGGGGGAUGAAGGCCUAUGGGUUGUAAACCUCUUUUUCCAAGGAGGAAGAUAUGACGUUACUUGGAGAAUAAGCAUCGGCUAACCCUGUGCCAGCAGCCGCGGUAAUACAGGGGAUGCAAGUGUUAUCCGGAAUCAUUGGGCGUAAAGCGUCUGCAGGUUGAUAUAACAGUCUUUUGUUAAACCUCUAGGCUUAACCUGGAAUCUGCAAAAGAAACUAUUUAUCUUGAGUAUGGUAGAGGGAGAGGGAAUUUCCAGUGGAGCGGUGAAAUGCGUAGAUAUUGGAAGGAACACCAACAGCGAAGGCACUCUCCUGGGCCAUUACUGACACUCAGAGACGAAAGCUAAGGGAGCAAACAGGAUUAGAUACCCCCGU
RNAcentral lists this ribosomal RNA (434 nucleotides) under uncultured prokaryote. Its description in RNAcentral is "bacterial SSU rRNA". It matches the Rfam family "Bacterial small subunit ribosomal RNA", at positions 342 to 791 of the family's 1533-position model. The record is from RNAcentral.